GGAAGAUCUUUUCUUCCAAACCAUUAGUCGUCGACAGUAAUAUAAUAUCUUCUCCUCCUCCUCCUACUCCGACGUAUCCCAAGUCUACUCCGUCUACACCUGCAGGUACACCGAGAGAUAAAACCAACGUAUGGAGAAGUGUGUUCAAUCCAGGAAGCAACAGCGCUACUAAAACUAUAGGGUCUGAUAUCUUCGAUAAACCUCAACCCAACUCACCUUCUGUCUAUGACUGGCUCUACAGUGGAGAAACAAAGAGCAUUCAUCGUUGACUGGAGUCUGCAGAUUAUAUUUUAUCUCAUCGGAAGGUUUAUCUACU
Molecule: long non-coding RNA, 316 nt
Filed under: Zostera marina
Lineage: Eukaryota; Viridiplantae; Streptophyta; Magnoliopsida; Alismatales; Zosteraceae
Description: long non-coding RNA (ZMAR_LNC000202)
Source: RNAcentral